UACAGAGGUCCCAAGCGUUACUGAGAAUCACUGGGGUUAAAGGGUGCGUAGGUGGUCCGUUAAGUCAGUUGUGAAAUCCCCGGGCUCAACCCGGGAACUGCUUCUGAUACUGGCGGACUUGAGGCCAGUAGGGGUCACUAGAACUGACGGUGGAGCGGUGAAAUGCGUAGAUAUCGUCAGGAAUGCCGGUGGUGAAGACGGGUGACUGGGCUGGUUCUGACGCUGAGGCACGAAAGCGUGGGGAGCGAACGGG
RNAcentral lists this ribosomal RNA (253 nucleotides) under uncultured bacterium. RNAcentral describes it as "partial 16S ribosomal RNA". It matches the Rfam family "Bacterial small subunit ribosomal RNA", at positions 524 to 776 of the family's 1533-position model. The record is from RNAcentral.